RNAcentral lists this ribosomal RNA (497 nucleotides) under uncultured bacterium. Its description in RNAcentral is "partial 16S ribosomal RNA". It matches the Rfam family "Bacterial small subunit ribosomal RNA", at positions 28 to 507 of the family's 1533-position model. The record is from RNAcentral.
GAUGAACGCUGGCGGCGUGCCUAAUACAUGCAAGUCGAGCGAACGGACGAGAAGCUUGCUUCUCUGAUGUUAGCGGCGGACGUGUGAGUAACACGUGGAUAACCUACCUAUAAGACUGGGAUCACUUCGGGAAACCGGAGCUAAUACCGUAUAAUAUUUUGAACCGUGUGGUUCAAAAGUGAAAGACGGUCUUGCUGUCACUUAUAGAUGGAUCCGCGCUGCAUUAGCUAGUUGUUAAGGUAACGGGUUACCAAGGCAACGAUGCAUAGCCGAACUGAGAGGGUGGUCGGCAACACGGGAGGUGAGACACGGACAAGACGCCUAAGAGAGGCCGCAGUAGGGAAUGUGCCGCAAUGGGCGAAAGCCUGACGGAGUGACGCCGCGUGAGUGAUGAAGGUGUUCGGAUCGUAAAACUCUGUUAUUAGGUAAGAACAUAUGUGUAAGUAACUGUGUACAGCUUGACGGUACCUAAUCAGAAAGCCACGGCUAACUACGUG